Molecule: long non-coding RNA, 3401 nt
Organism: Esox lucius (northern pike)
Lineage: Eukaryota; Metazoa; Chordata; Actinopteri; Esociformes; Esocidae
Exons: 3
Source: RefSeq, a predicted model, not a curated record
UCGCAUCUGUGCGCGCGCGCGUGUGUGUGUGUGUGUGUGUAUUUCUAGAAAAUGUCUGAGUGCUUCAUUUAAUCGACUGCAAUGUUAAUGGGCCGAAACAUAAGCAUUUGAUACACCUGCAACAACGUCUGCUUCAUCGUGGGUGCGCCCAAUAAAACGCUGACACUCUGGCUGUGACGGUCAUGGGAUUUUAGGUAAACAAUUGUUUUUCGCUCAAUAAAGCCACCUUUACAUUCUUCUGUCUUUGAAUUAGAGAGACACAUUUCUUCCACUUCAGUGGAAUUCUGAAAUGUCAAGGUGGGACAAGGGAACCCGGAGCCAGCACAGCCAUAGUUUAUCCAGCCAAGUUAAUCAAUGAGUUUGGUUAGUUAGUACAUAUAAAGGCUCCUCUGCAAUAGUCAGACAUGAAACAAAUGACCACCGCUGCUGGAUCCUUUGUUUCGUUUUGCACCAGACACUGCAUGUGUAUGACAACAUCAGCCCUUGAAUGCUAGCUAGUCAGGGUUGAAAAACACUUGCUGGCUUGCUGGAUGUUUAAUGUGAGCUAGCAGGAAUUGUAGCUAGCCAUGUCAUUUUGAAAGCUUUCAAACGUGCUGGCCUGUUGGCCUGAUUAGCAGUCUAUCUUAUAUAGGCUACUACGGCAAUCAAAGUCUGAAGCAAGCUAGUUAGACAGUUAGCAAUUGGCUGGAGUUAAGGGUAAAAUGAACAGCUUGGUGAGGGUGAAUUUACUUACAUUUAUUGCAGCUAGUCUUUUAGCUAGUUGUUGCUAAAGUUCUAGCUACUUAGUAAUUUUUUGUUUCUGAUUGUUAUCUGCAGUGGUCUGUUCCUGUGUAGCUUAAAUGGUAGAGUUUGAAGCUUGUAACACAAUUAUUGUGGGUUCACACGGGGGGUCAGGACAAAACAUGAAAAGUGAAAAGUAUAAUCAUCUGCUCUAAUGUAAGGUCAUUUAGAAAUAAUCUCAGCAGAUUGCACAAUUUAUCUCAUUUAACAGAGUCCUACUGUUUGACAUCUGCUGCAUACUGUAGCUAGACAUCCUUUUUCAAGACCUUUAUUUAAACAGGAUUCCCAGGGUAGUCCAAGGUAGCUUAAUAGGGGUGGAAACUCUUCUUGUAACCCAGUCCAUCAGUGAUGCCUUGUAACACCUCAAAUCAGUCAAGUGACUUGCUUGCACAGAGCUCCAAAGGUCUUCACAACAUUAUAUUGGUUCUAUGGGUGCAGCAGUGCAUGAGGAUGUCCAGGAAAAAUGUCAGAUCAAAGCCUGAUGAAAAUAUGUUAAUACACACUUCUGGGGAAAACAGAAUUACGUUUUUUGUCCAGAUUUUCUGCAAUGUUGGAAACUUGUGAUAAUGCAGCCAAAUGUGUCCAAUCCAAUCUGAAAACAGCAUAACAUUAAACAUCGCACUAACAGGGCAUGCCGAGGAGGUUCCUUAAAAUGUAUCAUCAAAUUAAAAUGUUUGUGCUCCAUUCAAAAAAUGUGGGCUUAAAAAUGCCCUCCAAGGUUUUUGGAUUUUGGAAGUAUGUUUAUGCAGUGAUACGUGCCAACCCUAGUACAAGCACAAUCAAUGACAGCCUCAGUCAACAAUAGUAGAAUUGAUCGGUUGAUGGAUUUAAUGGUUUAUCUUAGUGUCUUACAAACAAAACAAAAAACUAUGGGAAAAAAUUAUCUCUUACUCCACCCUCUGUUUUCACUCAAUGCUCAGCUUAGUAAAGUUCUGGAGUUAGUAAUGAUUUCCUCAGGGUAAGUGUAGCUCAGAGAAAUCUGAAUCUGCCCAAUCUUUGCGGACAUAUUCUGCUUUUCAGUCAAUCAGGUGCUUCCACUGUCCCAGACUCUUAUGCCACCCUCCCUGCCUGUGGGUACUAUAGGGAAAUCAAUAAUGUAUUUUCAGAGAGAUUGAUAAAGAGACAGAGAGAGAAUGAGAGUGAAAGAGAGAGAUUUGUUUUGUAAGGCACUAAAGUAAACAACUCAAUGGAAAGUACAUGCUCUGUUUUGUUUCCUUUGUCUCUGAUGUUCCAGUGGUUUUAGGAUUACGACCUUCUCAUGAUACAUACAGUGAUGUAUUUGGACACUGUUAAAUGUGUUUCUGUAAGGGUCAGUACUACAGCAAUUUGGAUUUGACUGUCAGCUUUGAGGGUAUCUCCAUGGUCCGUGUACCCAGUGGCCAACUGUUAUACCACCUUAAACAGGAAAACUGAUUGUUUCACUGCUCCAUAUUCGUUGUCGACAUUCCUACAUAGCCAGGUGAGUGUAUUUUGUGUUCCUAUACUGAUAUUCAUCUAGAAAAUGUUUGUGUCUGGGAUAAAUAGCUAGGUGAGUUAUUUGACAAUGUUUAUCUAGCCAGCUACCGUAAUGUUAACCCUGCUGCUCUAAUGUAUUAGCUAGCUAAUAGAGAAGGCUAUGUUACAGCACAGUACAGUUUGAAGCUAGCUGGCCAUACAACAGAUGACACUAAUAGUACCACUUACUGUGUGAUCAGGUCUGCUAGAACACUGACCAACGUCACUGAGGUGCUGUGUGUCUGUGAGAAAAAUUGCUAACGUGCUACAUGUUUGAACAUUAUGAUAAUAUUUAUUUGAUAAUCACUUCCGUUCAUUUUGUGUUCCUGCACCUUUUGUUGGGGAUGCGGAAGUGCAGUGCUGUGUGUUCAGUGGAGCAAAUAUAGUGAUUGUGGAAUGUGGAAUGUACUAAGAGCAAUGUGACCUGAUAUCUCAGGUACAGUUCUCUGUGUGUGUUCCAGGGGAAGCUGUCAUGGAAGAGCCAGCACGACCCAAGAAAGAGAGAGGGUCUCCAACUCACUAAAUGCUAGCGAUCACCCUCAGCAGAGCCGAUGACAGAUGGUCUGUGCCGUUAACCAGACCUGGUUGUAGCUCCCCCCCAGGGUCUACUACAUGAUCUUCUGGAUUGCCUGCACCCACCCACCAUGAACACUUCCCUGUCAUCACAUCCAGGACCUGCUGCUGCCCGUGUCAGGAAGAGGCAUCAAACACUGACAUUACUCCCAGUGGAGAAAUGAUCCAGUUGCCCCUGAGAGAGGUUGGCAGAGACGACAGCUGCAGCUCUUUGACAAACCAGCAGAGCUGGACCCUGGAAACAGGGGAGAGGGCCUCAAACACACCCAGCGCAGGGGAUACCUUUAGAAAUGGAAGACCAAUUGAUGUGAUUUUAGUCAUUUACCAGACAUCUUUAUCCUGAUCAACUUACAGGGGCAAUUAGGGUUAAAUGCUUUGUUCAGCGCUGAUUUUCCAGCCAGCUACUUUUCUGCAGACCCAGUGCUUUUACCAUAUGUGCCAUUAUAAUAACCAGAAAUGCAGACCCUACCUUUACCAUCAAUUUGAAUCACGUCCACCAAAACAGGUGCAAAAUUAUUUGAAAAUCAUGGUUGAAUAACUUGAAUAAAAUUUGA